Molecule: ribosomal RNA, 433 nt
Filed under: uncultured bacterium
Lineage: Bacteria
Description: partial 16S ribosomal RNA
Rfam family: Bacterial small subunit ribosomal RNA
Source: RNAcentral
AACGAACGCUGGCGGCAUGCCUAACACAUGCAAGUCGAACGAUGCCUUCCGGUCUAGUGGCGCACGGGUGCUUAACGCGUGGUAACCUGCACUUGGGUUCGCAAUCCCUCCCCGAAGGAGGUGCUAAUACCGCAUAGUCUCUUCCUACCAACGAUGUAUCGCCUUUGGAUGGGCUCGCGUUAGAUUAGCUGGUUGGUAGUGUAAAAGCCUACCAAGGCGACGAUCCUUAGCUGGUCUGAGAGGAUGACCAGCAACACUGGGAAUGAGACACGGCCCAGAAUGGGACGGGAGGGAGCAGUGGGGAAUAUUGGACAAGGGGGGAAAGUGUGACGAAGCAAUGUCGGGUGAGAGAUGAAGGGGGUAGGGAUGUAAUGUUAGCAUAGAAGGGACGAUAAUGACAGUACCGGGAGAAUAAGCUCCGGCUAACUACGUG